CUGAGAUCCUGCACAGCAGGCAGACCGGCCGCGGUGCCACCCAGCCCUGCAGUGUCCCACUGCUGCUUUAACCAUUUGUAGCUUGCUUCGGGGAGCUGCUCUGGUGUAAAUAACGCCUUGGCAGGUGUUAUUUAUCUAAAUUGUCACAGGAUCCAGAGUGCCCCUCUUGCUCAUGGCUAAGGGUGGCUGUUGAAGGUAGGGAUGGGCGCUCGUGUUCUUGAUUAACCUCUGUCUCCUUCUGUCACAGUUUGAAAAGAUGGAUUUGGAUUCACCGGGGUUUGUUCUCAAGGAAGAAUGAAAAAGGGAGUUGAAAAGAAAGGAAAAUAAAAGAAAUGAAAAUGACGAGUUAAAAGAGAAAAGUCCUACAGCAAAGAAUUGAAGGAAAGGCCUCAGCCAAGCUUUGCCAGCCCAGAAUGGCGUCUUACAGCAUUCCCUGCACCCGUGCCUCAGUCUGCCUUGCCAGCCCAAGUCCAGCCUCAGCCUGGAUCUGUCCGUGCUAGUGAAGGUGAGUCUGUGAUGUUUCGGGCCUCUUGCACUCAAUGGUGCAUUGAAGCACAUCAGGAAAGGAUAAGGUCAGGUAUUUCCUUUGGGCUGGGUGCCCGGUAGCUUUGGAGCAGGAGAGGAAGAGAGUUUCCAAGGCCCCUUCAGAAAGCAGGGCCAGUGCUGCUCUGGCAUGGCAGGAGGAGAGAGUUCCCCUGCCAAGUCCCCUCUGGACCCCUGAUCAAACACAUUGGGGCACCCCUUUGUGCUAACAGAUGAAACUGCUCCUCUCAUGAACUUGGGUACUCAAUGCCAAGUUUAGAUACAGUCUAGACGCAGUGGUGUAUUUAUAACCUUGGCACAUGACGUGGCAGGCAGUGGGGUAUAAACAGCAUUCAGACACGAUGAGAAGCGAAGUUAUUUAUACAUCAGCGUGCUGAAUGUAGGGUACCACAGACCCAAGGGCAGAGGUCACAACUGACUGGAGAUAGGAAGAAGUUAUCCAAACGGUGGGAGUAGUGUUUUUGGGAAUGGUACAUAACAGGAGUUGAGAUUGCUGUCUAACCCCAUACAUAUACUCUAGCAAGGCACAGACUGACUACAGCUCACUGAUAACUUUGAGCUGCAGUAGGUUUUUCUUAAAGAAUAAAUCCUGUUGCUGUAAGAGAUUAAAAGAAUGA
Molecule: long non-coding RNA, 1160 nt
Filed under: Anser brachyrhynchus (Pink-footed goose)
Lineage: Eukaryota; Metazoa; Chordata; Aves; Anseriformes; Anatidae
Description: lncRNA (ENSABRG00000007807.1)
Source: RNAcentral